Molecule: ribosomal RNA, 254 nt
Filed under: uncultured bacterium
Lineage: Bacteria
Description: partial 16S ribosomal RNA
Rfam family: Bacterial small subunit ribosomal RNA
Source: RNAcentral
UACGUAGGGGGCGAGCGUUGUCCGGAUUUAUUGGGCGUAAAGAGCUCGUAGGCGGUUUGGCAAGUCGGGUGUGAAAACUCCGGGCUCAACUCGGAGACGCCACUCGAUACUGCCAUGACUCGAGUCCGGUAGGGGAGUGCGGAAUUCCUGGUGUAGCGGUGAAAUGCGCAGAUAUCUGGAGGAACACCAGUGGCGAAAGCGCGUGACUGGGCCACAACUGACGCUGAGGAACGAAAGCUAGGGUAGCGAAAGGG